CAGUAGCCGCGGUAAUACGGAGGAUCCAAGCGUUAUCCGGAAUUAUUGGGUUUAAAGGGUGCGUAGGCGGAUCCGUAAGUCAGUGGUGAAAUCUCCAGGCUUAACCUGGAAACUGCCGUUGAUACUAUAGGUCUUGAAUUUUGUGGAGGUUAGCGGAAUAUGUCAUGUAGCGGUGAAAUGCAUAGAUAUGACAUAGAACACCAAUUGCGAAGGCAGCUGGCUACACAACUAUUAACGCUGAGGCACGAAAGCGUGGGGAUCAAACAGGAUUAGAUACCCCCGUAGUCCCUGUCUCUUAUAA
RNAcentral lists this ribosomal RNA (301 nucleotides) under uncultured bacterium. Its description in RNAcentral is "partial 16S ribosomal RNA". It matches the Rfam family "Bacterial small subunit ribosomal RNA", at positions 509 to 809 of the family's 1533-position model. The record is from RNAcentral.